ACUCCUACGGGAGGCAGCAGUAGGGAAUCUUCCACAAUGGACGAAAGUCUGAUGGAGCAACGCCGCGUGAGUGAAGAAGGGUUUCGGCUCGUAAAAACUCUGUUGUUAAAAGAAGAACAUAUCUGAGAGUAACUGUUCAGGUAUUGACGGUAUUUAACCAGAAAGCCACGGCUAACUACGUGCCAGCAGCCGCGGUAAUACGUAGGUGGCAAGCGUUGUCCGGAUUUAUUGGGGCGUAAAGCGAGCGCAGGCGGUUUUUAAGUCUGAUGUGAAAGCCUUCGGCUCAACCGAAGAAGUGCAUCGGAAACUGGGAAACUUGAGUGCAGAAGAGGACAGUGGAACUCCAUGUGUAGCGGUGAAAUGCGUAGAUAUAUGAAGAACACCAGUGGCGAAGGCGGCGUGUCUGGUCUG
Molecule: ribosomal RNA, 411 nt
Filed under: uncultured bacterium
Lineage: Bacteria
Description: bacterial SSU rRNA
Rfam family: Bacterial small subunit ribosomal RNA
Source: RNAcentral